GACCCAGUCGUCAAGUCCGGUUAAGACAUAACACUUUCACUGUUACAGCGAGAGUUCAAAUCUCUCCUGGGUCA
Non-coding RNA from Neophaeococcomyces mojaviensis, 74 nucleotides. The record is from the annotation of a GenBank genome assembly. Lineage: Eukaryota; Fungi; Ascomycota; Eurotiomycetes; Chaetothyriales.